GAAGAGAGAAUGAUGUUAAAGUUGGCCAGAAGUAUGCCUCAGUGGUAAGUUGUCUCCUGGCAUAGGCAGAGCCUGCUGUUCAAUUUCCAGCACUGCAAAAGAAAAAAAUAAUAAAAUAAAAAGGUGAGCUCAUAUUUGCUUUUGCUCAUGUUCUCAAUUUUUCAAUGUGUUUUUUUCUUAUAAUAGGUGAAAAACCUUUUGAAUGUUCAAAUUGUCACGAGCGGUUUGCUAGAAAUAGCACUCUCAAAUGUCACCUCACUGCGUGCCAAACUGGAGUAGGGGCAAAAAAGGGAAGGAAGAAGCUUUAUGAAUGCCAGGUCUGUAACAGUGUAUUUAACAGCUGGGACCAGUUCAAAGAUCACUUGGUAAUACACACUGGAGAUAAACCCAACCAUUG
This 397-nucleotide long non-coding RNA is filed under the name Rattus norvegicus (Norway rat). RNAcentral describes it as "long non-coding RNA NONRATT016132". Lineage: Eukaryota; Metazoa; Chordata; Mammalia; Rodentia; Muridae. The record is from RNAcentral.